GAUCAUGGCUCAGGAUGAACGCUGGCGGCGUGCCUAACACAUGCAAGUCGAACGGAGCUGCUUUGAUGAAGUUUUCGGAUGGAUUUAAAACAAGCUUAGUGGCGGACGGGUGAGUAACGCGUGGGUAACCUGCCUCACACUGGGGGAGUAACAGUUAGAAAUAAGCUGCUAAUACCGCAUAAGCGCACGGUUCGUGCAUGGAACGAAGUGUGAAAACUACCGGUCGGUGUGAGAUGGACCCGGCCGU
This 247-nucleotide ribosomal RNA is filed under the name uncultured bacterium. RNAcentral describes it as "partial 16S ribosomal RNA". It matches the Rfam family "Bacterial small subunit ribosomal RNA", at positions 15 to 239 of the family's 1533-position model. The record is from RNAcentral.